UCUCCGUUGGUGAACCAGCGGAGGGAUCAUUACCGAGUUAUUCAACUCAUCAACCCUGUGAACUUACCUAAACGUUGCUUCGGCGGGAAUAGACGGCCCUGUAAAACGGGCCGCCCCCGCCAGAGGACUCUUAACUCUGUUUCUUAUAAUGUUUCUUCUGAGUAAAACAAGCAAAUAAAUUAAAACUUUCAACAACGGAUCUCUUGGCUCUGGCAUCGAUGAAGAACGCAGCGAAAUGCGAUAAGUAAUGUGAAUUGCAGAAUUCAGUGAAUCAUCGAAUCUUUGAACGCACAUUGCGCCCGCCAGUAUUCUGGCGGGCAUGCCUGUUCGAGCGUCAUUACAACCCUCAGGCCCCCGGGCCUGGCGUUGGGGAUCGGCGGAGCGCCCCUCGUGGGCGCACGCCGUCCCCCAAAUACAGUGGCGGUCCCGCCGCAGCUUCCAUCGCGUAGUAGCUAACACCUCGCGACUGGAGAGCGGCGCGGCCACGCCGUAAAACACCCCAACUCUUCUGAAGUUGACCUCGAAUCAGGUAGGAAUACCCGCUGAACUUAA
Molecule: ribosomal RNA, 552 nt
Filed under: Fusarium petroliphilum
Lineage: Eukaryota; Fungi; Ascomycota; Sordariomycetes; Hypocreales; Nectriaceae
Also listed under: 1 other name
Description: eukaryotic LSU rRNA
Rfam family: 5.8S ribosomal RNA (bases 184-337)
Source: RNAcentral